RNAcentral lists this transfer RNA (74 nucleotides) under Promethearchaeota archaeon. RNAcentral's name for it is "Candidatus Lokiarchaeota archaeon tRNA-Pro". It matches the Rfam family "tRNA". From Rfam's summary of the family: Transfer RNA (tRNA) molecules are approximately 80 nucleotides in length. The record is from RNAcentral. Lineage: Archaea; Promethearchaeati; Promethearchaeota.
GGGGUCGUAGUCUAGCUUGGUAUGAUACUGCGUUCGGAACGCAGUGAUCGAGUGUUCAAAUCACUCCGUCCCCA